This 813-nucleotide ribosomal RNA is filed under the name Thrombium epigaeum. RNAcentral describes it as "SSU rRNA". It matches the Rfam family "Bacterial small subunit ribosomal RNA", at positions 365 to 1263 of the family's 1533-position model. The record is from RNAcentral. Lineage: Eukaryota; Fungi; Ascomycota; Lecanoromycetes; Protothelenellaceae.
AAUGUAUGGCGAAAGCUGGUUAUAUUAAUAUAUUAUUAAUAUAACAUCGACUAUGUCGAAUAAAAUUCUAGGUAUAAUUAUGAUGAUGACAUUUUAUACCUAUAUGUCUUGACCAAAUCACGUGCCAGCAGUCGCGGUAAUACGUGGAAGACUAGUGUUAUUCAUCUUAAAUAGGUUUAAAGGGUACCUAGACGGUAAAUUAAGCCCAUAUAGGGAACUGAUUUUAUACUAGAGUUUAAUAGGAGGAGGGGAGUACAGCUGAGUGUAGAGAUGAAAUUCUGUCAUACCUUCUGGAACAGGCACCGGCGAAAGCAACCUUUUAUGUAUAACCUGACGUUGAGGGACGAAGGCUCCGUACNCCACCAGGAUUAAAUACCNUAGCAGCCUGAGCNGAACAUNGAUGGAUGGCCUUCCUUAGGUUAAAUUUUNUUAUUUUUUAAGGAAAAANGGAAGNGUNAGCAUCCCCCUCCAGAAUUANGNGGCCACGCCGGAACUGGAAUCAUUAGACCGGUUCUGGAACCAGUAGUGAAGUAUGUUGUUUAAUAGAUGGUCCGCAAAAAACCUCACCACAAUUUGAAUAUUUCUGUACAUUAUAGUUAUACAAGCGUUGCACGGCUGUCUUCAGUUAAUGUCGUGAGAUUUUGGUUAGUUCCAUUAAAUUAACGUAAACCCUUACUUUAUUUUUUUUAAUAAAGUAGUUCGCCAUUAUAUUGGAUAUGAUAAUAGGGACUAAGACAAGUCAUCAUGGCCUGAAUAUUGUGGGCUAUAGACGUGCCACACAGUCCUCGACAAAAGGAUGCUAAAUUGCGAAAU